Molecule: ribosomal RNA, 1497 nt
Filed under: uncultured bacterium
Lineage: Bacteria
Description: 16S ribosomal RNA
Rfam family: Bacterial small subunit ribosomal RNA
Source: RNAcentral
GUUUGAUUCUGGCUCAGGAUGAACGCUGGCGGCAUGCCUAAUACAUGCAAGUCGAACGGAGUGAAGCCUUCGGGUUUCAUUCAGUGGCGAACGGGUGAGUAAUACGCAGGGAACCUGGCCAUGGCAGGGGGAUACACUCUGGAAACGGAGCAUAAGACCCCAUAGGCAGUAAGGCGGCAUCGCCUUGCUGUUAAAGAAAGCUGAAAGGCUUUGGCGAUGGAUGGACCUGCGGUGCAUUAGCUUGUUGGUGAGGCAACGGCUUACCAAGGCGAUGAUGCAUAGCCGGCCUGAGAGGGCGGACGGCCACACUGGGACUGAGACACGGCCCAGACUCCUGCGGGAGGCAGCAGUAGGGAAUUUUCGUCAAUGGGCGCAAGCCUGAACGAGCAAUGCCGCGUGAGUGAGGAAGGUCUUCGGACUGUAAAGCUCUGUUGCCGGGGAAAAAGGGGAAAUGCAGGAAAUGGCAUUUCAUGGAUGGUACCCGGCCAGAAAGCCACGGCUAACUACGUGCCAGCAGCCGCGGUAAUACGUAGGUGGCGAGCGUUAUCCGGAAUGAUUGGGCGUAAAGGGUGCGCAGGCGGUCUGUUAAGUCUGAAGGCAAAGGGAUGAGCUCAACUCAUUUAUGAUUCAGAAACUGGCAGACUUGAGGACAGGAGAGGGCGGUGGAACUCCAUGUGUAGCGGUAAAAUGCGCAGAGAUAUGGAAGAACACCAGUGGCGAAGGCGACCGCCUGGCCUGUGACUGACGCUGAGGCACGAAAGCGUGGGGAGCAAAUAGGAUUAGAUACCCUAGUAGUCCACGCCGUAAACGAUGAGGAGCAGGUGUUGGGAGUGAAAUCUCAGUGCCGAAGCCAACGCAGUGACUCCUCCGCCUGGGGAGUAUGCACGCAAGUGUGAAACUCAAAGGAAUUGACGGGGGCCCGCACAAGCGGUGGAGUAUGUGGUUUAAUUCGAAGCAACGCGAAGAACCUUACCAGGUUUUGACAUCGGAUGCGAAGGCGCAGAGAUGCGCUGGAGGCUAUCAUCCAGACAGGUGGUGCAUGGUUGUCGUCAGCUCGUGUCGUGAGAUGUUCAGUUAAGUCUGGCAACGAGCGCAACCCCCGUGGUAUGUUACUAACGCAUUUGGGCGAGGACUCAUAUCAGACUGCCGGUGACAAACCGGAGGAAGGCGGGGAUGACGUCAAAUCAUCAUGCCCCUUAUGACCUGGGCUACACACGUACUACAAUGGCGUCUACAGAGGGAAGCGACCCUGAGAAGGGAAGCGAAACCGGAAAAGGGCGUCCCAGUUCGGAUUGAAGUCUGCAACCCGACUUCAUGAAGAUGGAAUCGCUAGUAAUCGCGGAUCAGCAUGCCGCGGUGAAUACGUUCCCGGGCCUUGUACACACCGCCCGUCAAACCAUGGAAGCCGGCAACGCCCGAAGCCGGUGGCAUAACCUUUUAGGAGUGAGCCGUCGAAGGCGGGGCCGAUGACUGGGGUUAAGUCGUAACAAGGUACCC